UAAAAUUAUUGUAUGAUAAGAAAAUAACAUAGAUUAGUACACAAAUCUUGGAUAUAAUUACAAAAGGUCUAUGUACCUGCAAACUUCCUUUAAUAAACAGAUUUGCUUUAAAAUGAACUCUUCUUCUGAGAGGUAACCGGUGCUCACACGGGAAAAUACUCAUUAAGUAAAUCUCAAUAACAUUGAAAAUAUACAGUCCAACAUUUUAUAAAUUAGAACUUAAAUCAUGAAUACUUCUAAGCGAAUCUUGUGUCACCAACGGCUCUUCUUUCAUACGCAUCGGAUGUCUAGUCAUGACAAUCCUUUGGGUAUAAAAGGCGGGGACCUAACAGAACACCUCGUAAGCAGUCCAUAGAUGGGGUUAAAACCGUGAUAGUUGUGGCAUCAGGAGAGGGCGGAGUCGGGAAGUCUACCACUGCUGUCCAAGCAGGUAGGUCUACUAGAUGCAGAUGUGUUUGGCCCAUCAAUACCAAUUAUGAUGAAUCUGAAGGGUGAACCUCUACUGAAUGAUCGUGAAUACUUGGAAUGAGAUGAUGCCAUUGACAAACUAUGGAAUAAAAUGACAAUCGAAGAUGAACGUUUUCUUGCUUAGGACACUUCGUCGGCACCGCCACAAAGGUUGGUAAAGGCGGUCAUGGCGGUGGAUUUAACAUUGGUGGUGGUGGCAUGUUUUCCGCUGCAGGAGGCUUUGUAGCGGUUGGAUGUGGAUUUAUUUCAGGUACCGGUUCCGGCUUGGGAGGAAGAUCCGGAACUGGUCGCACAUGGUCCAGGGUCAGUCAAGGUGGAUGGGGUGGUCAGAGCGGCGAUGGCUCAUGGGGUGGCCAAUGUGGUCUAACUUUAGGCUGGACAUGUGGAUUGGGAACUGGUGGCGGUGCUUCCGGUAGUUGGGGAACUGAUGGCUAAUGGAGAACUAGUGGUGGUACAACUGGACGCGUAAGCGGUUCAGCCGGCGUGAAAGUUAUAAUUACUGGAGCUCCAUUCGGAGGUCCAAGCGGACCCUCUUGGCCCAUCCGGAGGAACCUUCAUCCCUAGAUCUGGUUCCGGUUGCGGUUUCUUCAGCGGAUCUAAAGGCGGCUUUGCUCUUUCCGGCCAAAAUGGCGGCCCAGUUUCCAGAGGCCCAUCAGGAGGCGGAUCUGCUCAGGUGUCGGAUUCUUUAGCGGCGGUUCCGGUCCAGGUCCUUUUGCAGGUGAUCCAUCUGCCCAUGGCCUCGCUGGUGUGGAUGGAGCAUUUGGUGACGGCGUCAGCAUUUCCGGUGGCGGUUUCGGCAGAGCUUGACAUGGAGAAGGCGGUUAAAAAUGUUAGACCGUUCCGAUAGACGCCAGUCUUUCAGGAUAUAUCAGCGACCAUGAGCAUGCGAUAGUCACUGGGACCUGCUCUCACUACCCGACGAUGAAGACGACGGAUUGUUCAACUGACGAGAUUUUAUGACUUUUGUAGCUUAUUGCAUUUUGAUUGAAAUUACUUUUUAAUCACUAUUGUUUUCCCUUAUAUCCGAUUUGAUGCAGAUAUUUCCUACCUAUUAUCGCAAUAAAUUAUUGCUAAAAGAUA
Molecule: long non-coding RNA, 1548 nt
Organism: Dreissena polymorpha
Lineage: Eukaryota; Metazoa; Mollusca; Bivalvia; Myida; Dreissenidae
Exons: 7
Source: RefSeq, a predicted model, not a curated record